GACUAAAUAAUCACAGUCCUCAAUUAAUAUAUGUUAUGCUAAUCCUAAAAAGAACUCUUGGAUCAACUACAUUCAAACAAAAUCUCAGAUCCAAACCUUGAUGCAAACAUGUAGUACUGAUGACAUAAUGAACACACAUAAGAAGCUAGAAUAAAAGAAACAUAGAAUAAAAUACAACAAAUUCAAAUAGCUGAUCAGGCAAUAGAGAAUUAGCAUUUGUCAAUUUCUUCAACUCGAGUUAUAUGUUUUCAUACUUGCACCUCACAUACUAACAAAAGCCAGAGCAUAUCUGGGUACAGCAACACACAAUGAGAAAACGAGCUGAAGUUUAAGAAGAAACGGUAGCAGCAAAUCUGAUUCACUAAAUCAGCAACAAAACAUACUUGAAAACCAGUUUUUGACUCGAAAUAUGACCCCUGAAAUCCUUUGUAACUUUCAGAUAAUAGAAUCAACAAGAAAACUAGACCAAUUUUUAGCAGGGAUGGCCAUGCAUUUCAAUGUUUUGAAGACUCGGUCAUUUACAAUUUAUUCAGGAUUUUUAGUCUCUAAUUUUCUGCCUUGAGAAUGAAGGAACAAUAACUUUAUAGGCAAGCCUUAGGGCAAUAGAAAUGGGUCAGUUUAGUGCCUUUUGAUCCUUUUGAAAUUUUUAUUUUUGCUACUUGGUCCUUAGUUUAAAAUUAAUUUUUGAAAAUCAGACCUAAUCUGCACCUUCUAGAAAGCUUCCCCAGUCAGUUAUUAAAGAUUUCUUAUCCUACAAUUUCUUAAUUAACCUUUAAACCCCUGUUUUUUACUUCAGGAACCUAAAUGGUUCAUAUUGACACAAGUUUCAUCCCAAAAACCUGGGCUUCCCAACCCAGUUUAAUUCCCCCCUUUGGGCUUCUGAUUUUCAUAACUCAGUUCAAGCCACAAUCAAAGGUCACAAAUUAACGGGCUAUCCAGAGUUUCCCAAAAGAAAAACUAUAAAACCUUUAAAAUGAAAUUAAAGAAAAGGGAAAUGAACUAAUUAGACCUAAAUAAUAAAAAACCAAAGAAAACUAAACUUAACUUUUUAUUAAUCUAAUUAUGCAACAGAACAAUGAUUAAAAGCAAAAACAAAACAAAGAAGAAGAAAAGAGAAGACGAAAAAGAGAUGAAGAUGAACUUAAACGAAAGAAAAAGAAGAAAAAUGCAAGAAAAUUAAAGAAGCUGAAAAUACCUAAGAACCAAGCAGACAAAAUCUUCAAACUACUGCUCAGCCUUUGAUUUUGACCGAACGGGCCUUAAUCAUGUGUUCUCAGAAGAAAACAUGCGAAUAAGGUCAAUUUCAGCCUCAAACCUUCGCUAAACUUGCUGAUUUGGGGUUUUGGGAUUUUAGGAUUCAGAACUUCGAUUUAAGAUUCGAAGGAGACUAGGGUGAUUCAAGGGAAACGAGUUAUGGAUUGGGAAAAAGGAGACCAUGGGGGUUUUGGGAUGUUAGUUUGGGACGGAUUGGGAGCGACGCCGCCACCGAAGAAUGCUAGGGCAGCGCUAGGGUUAUGGGCUAUCUCUGAAGAGGGAGGUGAAGUGAGAGAGAUGAAUUAGAAGGGGGUAGG
Molecule: long non-coding RNA, 1571 nt
Filed under: Nicotiana benthamiana
Lineage: Eukaryota; Viridiplantae; Streptophyta; Magnoliopsida; Solanales; Solanaceae
Description: long non-coding RNA (NBEN_LNC041049)
Source: RNAcentral